GUUGCCAUGGAAGAAUCAUCUUAUGGAGCAGGUCCCGGCUAUGAUGCAGGUUAUGAUGCUGGCUAUGAUUCUAUGGGCUAUGAACUCUCAAGUUACAACAACUCAUACAAUGGAGGAAGUUCUGAUUAUUACGAUUCAGUCAGCUAUCCUGGUCAGGAUUACAGCACUGAAGUAGUGGCACCACACGCACCCAGCUCUGGACGUUGGAAAGGUUACUCUCCCACCGGUGGCAGUGGUAAAGGGCCUUCUAGUCUACCUAUCUCUGCUUCCCGCUAUAGCGCUCAAGGCAUCCGCCAUUCACCAUAUGGCCGUCCUAAAUCCUAUGAUUGA
Molecule: long non-coding RNA, 330 nt
Filed under: Bemisia tabaci
Lineage: Eukaryota; Metazoa; Arthropoda; Insecta; Hemiptera; Aleyrodidae
Description: lncRNA ENSSSA3NGG003333
Source: RNAcentral